CUGGCAUCAAGUUGCGGAAUCUCUGGCUAAUCUUUCUCUCUAGUCCCCUCUCCUGUCCUGCGCUGAAUUAGAAGAAGCGCUGUGAAAGCAAGAGGCCGCUUGAAGGGGAGAAACUUAUAAAGGCACACCUGCAAUUUUAAUGCUCGACUUGGCAUCACAGUGUGAGAGUUGAAAACUCGCAAAGCUCUGAAAAUUGAGGAGGUUGCCAAUUUCCUGGACCAGCUUGAGCAGAAGUGGAACAUUAUCUUCGGGCUUCGCGUUAAAUGGCCACUACCCACAAUCUGGAGCCGGGUCACUUCCAACCUGCACGGAGUCCUCUCUCUCGCAGUAUGGAAUACGCACAGCUUGGCACUUCAGUAACCACAUGGUGAAAAUAGCGACUAGUUUGCAUUCUGCAUGAUGGUGUUAACUUCCCCCUCUUUCACAUUUCCACUUUUAUCCCUUUCACUUACUGUAUACUAAUAAACUA
This is a long non-coding RNA of Mobula hypostoma (lesser devil ray), 469 nucleotides long. RefSeq lists it as uncharacterized. The transcript is spliced from 3 exons. Lineage: Eukaryota; Metazoa; Chordata; Chondrichthyes; Myliobatiformes; Myliobatidae. The record is from RefSeq and is a predicted model, not a curated record.